AAUAAAGUGCCUGAAAAAGGAUUACUAUGAUAUAGUAAAACAUGCAAUUUAAAGCCUUUAUUA
Molecule: transfer RNA, 63 nt
Filed under: Batracomorphus nigromarginattus
Lineage: Eukaryota; Metazoa; Arthropoda; Insecta; Hemiptera; Cicadellidae
Description: tRNA-Ile
Source: RNAcentral